RNAcentral lists this ribosomal RNA (719 nucleotides) under uncultured Streptococcus sp. Its description in RNAcentral is "bacterial SSU rRNA". It matches the Rfam family "Bacterial small subunit ribosomal RNA", at positions 28 to 728 of the family's 1533-position model. Lineage: Bacteria; Bacillati; Bacillota; Bacilli; Lactobacillales; Streptococcaceae. The record is from RNAcentral.
GACGAACGCUGGCGGCGUGCCUAAUACAUGCAAGUAGAACGCUGAAGAGAGGAGCUUGCUCUUCUUGGAAGAGUUGCGAACGGGUGAGUAACGCGUAGGUAACCUGCCUUGUAGCGGGGGAUAACUAUUGGAAACGAUAGCUAAUACCGCAUAACAAUGGGUGACCCAUGUCAUUCAUUUAAAAGGGGCAACUGCUCCACUACAAGAUGGACCUGCGUUGUAUUAGCUAGUAGGUGAGGUAACGGCUCACCUAGGCGACGAUACAUAGCCGACCUGAGAGGGUGAUCGGCCACACUGGGACUGAGACACGGCCCAGACUCCUACGGGAGGCAGCAGUAGGGAAUCUUCGGCAAUGGGGGCAACCCUGACCGAGCAACGCCGCGUGAGUGAAGAAGGUUUUCGGAUCGUAAAGCUCUGUUGUAAGUCAAGAACGAGUGUGAGAGUGGAAAGUUCACACUGUGACGGUAGCUUACCAGAAAGGGACGGCUAACUACGUGCCAGCAGCCGCGGUAAUACGUAGGUCCCGAGCGUUGUCCGGAUUUAUUGGGCGUAAAGCGAGCGCAGGCGGUUUGAUAAGUCUGAAGUUAAAGGCUGUGGCUCAACCAUAGUUUUGCUUUGGAAACUGUCAAACUUGAGUGCAGAAGGGGAGAGUGGAAUUCCAUGUGUAGCGGUGAAAUGCGUAGAUAUAUGGAGGAACACCGGUGGGCGAAAGCGGCUCU